This 422-nucleotide ribosomal RNA is filed under the name Verrucomicrobiota bacterium. Its description in RNAcentral is "Verrucomicrobia bacterium partial 16S ribosomal RNA". It matches the Rfam family "Bacterial small subunit ribosomal RNA", at positions 355 to 776 of the family's 1533-position model. Lineage: Bacteria; Pseudomonadati; Verrucomicrobiota. The record is from RNAcentral.
UGGGGAAUUUUGCACAAUGGGCGCAAGCCUGAUGCAGCGACGCCGCGUGAGGGAUGAAGGCCUUCGGGUUGUAAACCUUUUUCGCUCAUGGUCAAGCCGCAGCUUUGGGUUGUGGUGAGGGUAGUGGGUAAAGAAGCGCCGGCUAACUACGUGCCAGCAGCCGCGGUAAUACGUAGGGCGCGAGCGUUGUCCGGCAUUAUUGGGCGUAAAGGGCUUGUAGGCGGUUGGCCGCGUCUGCCGUGAAAUCCUCUGGCUUAACUGGGGGCGUGCGGUGGGUACGGGUUGACUUGAGUGCGGUAGGGGAGACUGGAAUUCCUGGUGUAGCGGUGGAAUGCGCAGAUAUCAGGAGGAACACCGGUGGCGAAGGCGGGUCUCUGGGCCGUUACUGACGCUGAGGAGCGAAAGCGUGGGGAGCGAACAGG